CAACCAACAAAUAUCUCAAAGUAUGUAAAUUAUUUAUAAUUUAAUGUUAACUUGAGGAAAGAUAUUUACAAUCUAAUGUCAAAGCAUGUAAAUUAAUUUUUUUUCAUUUGACUGGUAGCUAUCACCACAGUCCCUAGAGAAGGGGACCAUUCAAACACGCAUGUUUGGAAUGCCAAAACAAAGCCAAAUGAACAGGGAAGAAAGAACUACAGAUCAAGGGAAAUGAUCAGCAACAAACAACCUAAGAAAGAAUAUUAAAUUAGGGAACAAGCAAUACCUGAAUCGACGACGAUGACGGUGAUGAGCGAAGAUAGGAAGACCGGCGACGGCAA
This 332-nucleotide long non-coding RNA is filed under the name Elaeis guineensis (African oil palm). RNAcentral's name for it is "long non-coding RNA (EGUI_LNC077896)". Lineage: Eukaryota; Viridiplantae; Streptophyta; Magnoliopsida; Arecales; Arecaceae. The record is from RNAcentral.